Molecule: ribosomal RNA, 253 nt
Filed under: uncultured bacterium
Lineage: Bacteria
Description: partial 16S ribosomal RNA
Rfam family: Bacterial small subunit ribosomal RNA
Source: RNAcentral
UACGGAGGGUGCAAGCGUUAUCCGGAUUCACUGGGUUUAAAGGGAGCGUAGGUGGGUCUGUGAGUCCGUGGUGAAAUCUCCGAGCUUAACUUGGAAACUGCCAUGGAUACUAUAGGUCUUGAAUACUGUGGAGGUUAGCGGAAUAUGUCAUGUAGCGGUGAAAUGCUUAGAUAUGACAUAGAACACCAAUUGCGAAGGCAGCUGGCUACACAAAUAUUGACACUGAGGCUCGAAAGCGUGGGGAUCAAACAGG